AAAAGCUCAGAUUUGAAAUCUGGUGUCAUUUUGGCAUCCGAGUUGUAGUCUGUAGAGGAGCAUUCGAGUGUAGCUUUGGCUUAAGUUCCUUGGAACAGGACGUCAUAGAGGGUGAGAACCCCGUUAACGGCCGUUGUCUUAUGCUUAUGUGAAUCUCCUUCAACGAGUCGAGUUGUUUGGGAAUGCAGCUCUAAAUGGGUGGUAAAUUCCAUCUAAAGCUAAAUACUGGCAAGAGACCGAUAGCGCACAAGUAGAGUGAUCGAAAGAUGAAAAGAACUCUGAACAGAGAGUUAAAUAGUACGUGAAAUUGUUGAAAGGGAAGCACUUGCAACCAGACGCACUUGCAGCUGAUCAACCUCCAUUCUUGGAGGUGCACUCAGUUGUUUGUGGGUCAGCAUCAGUUAUGGCGGUGGGAAAAAGACCAAGGGAAUGUAGCUCCUUUCGGGGAGUGUUAUAGCCCUUGGUGUAAUGCUGCCUGCUAUGACUGAGGACUGCGCUUUGGCGAGGAUGCUGGCAUAAUGGUUGUAAGUGACCCGUCUUGAAACACGGACCAAGGAGUCUAACAUCUAUGCGAGUGUUUGGGUGUUCAAACCCUUACGCGGAAUGAAAGUAAAUGGAGGUGGGAACCGCAAGGUGCACCAUCGACCGAUCCUGAUGUUUACGGAUGGAUUUGAGUAGGAGCAUAGCUGUUGGGACCCGAAAGAUGGUGAACUAUGCCUGAAUAGGNGAAGCCA
Molecule: ribosomal RNA, 734 nt
Filed under: Ruhlandiella berolinensis
Lineage: Eukaryota; Fungi; Ascomycota; Pezizomycetes; Pezizales; Pezizaceae
Description: LSU rRNA
Rfam family: Eukaryotic large subunit ribosomal RNA
Source: RNAcentral